CCUACGGGUGGCAGCAGUGAGGAAUAUUGGUCAAUGGGCGAGAGCCUGAACCAGCCAAGUCGCGUGAGGGAGUACUGCUCUAUGGGUUGUAAACCUCUUUUGUCGGGGAGCAAAAGCCGGACGUGUCCGGCUGUUAGAGUACCCGAAGAAAAAGCAUCGGCUAACUCCGUGCCAUCAGCCGCGGUAAUACGGAGGAGGCGAGCGUUAUCCGGAUUUACUGGGUUUAAAGGGUGCGAAGGCGGAUUUUUAAGUCAGCGUUAAAAUCGUGGGGCUCAACCCCAUCAAGCCGUUGAAACUGGGGAUCUAGAGUGUGCAAGAGGUAUGCGGAAUGCGUGGUGUAGCGGUGAAAUGCAUAGGUAUCACGCAGAACCCCGAUAGCGAAGGCAGCAUACCGGUGCACAACUGACGCUCAGGCACGAAAGCGUGGGUAUCGAACAGGAUUAGAUACCCUGGUAGUC
This 458-nucleotide ribosomal RNA is filed under the name uncultured bacterium. Its description in RNAcentral is "partial 16S ribosomal RNA". It matches the Rfam family "Bacterial small subunit ribosomal RNA", at positions 338 to 795 of the family's 1533-position model. The record is from RNAcentral.